UACGUAGGGGGCGAGCGUUGUCCGGAAUUACUGGGCGUAAAGAGCUCGUAGGUGGUUUGUCGCGUUGUUCGUGAAAACCGGGGGCUUAACCCUCGGCGUGCGGGCGAUACGGGCAGACUUGAGUACUGCAGGGGAGACUGGAAUUCCUGGUGUAGCGGUGGAAUGCGCAGAUAUCAGGAGGAACACCGGUGGCGAAGGCGGGUCUCUGGGCAGUAACUGACGCUGAGGAGCGAAAGCGUGGGGAGCGAACAGG
RNAcentral lists this ribosomal RNA (253 nucleotides) under uncultured bacterium. RNAcentral's name for it is "partial 16S ribosomal RNA". It matches the Rfam family "Bacterial small subunit ribosomal RNA", at positions 524 to 776 of the family's 1533-position model. The record is from RNAcentral.